GGCGAACGCUGGCGGCGUGCUUAACACAUGCAAGUCGAACGGAAAGGCCCUGCUUUUGUGGGGUGCUCGAGUGGCGAACGGGUGAGUAACACGUGAGUAACCUGCCCUUGACUUUGGGAUAACUUCAGGAAACUGGGGCUAAUACCGGAUAGGAGCUCCUGCUGCAUGGUGGGGGUUGGAAAGUUUCGGCGGUUGGGGAUGGACUCGCGGCUUAUCAGCUUGUUGGUGGGGUAGUGGCUUACCAAGGCUUUGACGGGUAGCCUGCCUGAGAGGGUGACCGGCCACAUUGGGACUGAGAUACGGCCCAGACUCCUACGGGAGGCAGCAGUGGGGAAUAUUGCACAAUGGGCGGAAGCCUGAUGCAGCAACGCCGCGUGCGGGAUGACGGCCUUCGGGUUGUAAACCGCUUUCGCCUGUGACGAAGCGUGAGUGACGGUAAUGGGUAAAGAAGCACCGGCUAACUACGUG
RNAcentral lists this ribosomal RNA (468 nucleotides) under uncultured bacterium. RNAcentral's name for it is "partial 16S ribosomal RNA". It matches the Rfam family "Bacterial small subunit ribosomal RNA", at positions 28 to 507 of the family's 1533-position model. The record is from RNAcentral.